CCGGGCCUCCAGCGAGCUCCUCGCGUCCGAGAGGGAGCUAAGGGCUCCCUGGUUCAAAGGGCCGCAGCCCCGAGGGGAUGCCCUCCUCGUAUGCCCCGGGGUGCAGAAGCAGACUGCAGGGCGGUGGGACCAGCCUGGGCCACGGUGAUACUACAACCACUGACUCCCUACACUCACGAGUGUUGAAGACACAGGCACAAGGUCUGGGAGAUUCUGGCACCACAAACACCCGUAGAAUACUGUAUAGUGACUUCUGGAAGGGGUGGCCAGGAGGGAGAUGGAGGCUUCUUCCCGGGCUGUUUUCCUCAUGGUCUUCUGAGGGAAGAUGUCUUUCUACAGUCUACGUCCAGCCUUUUGCAAACUUGUGUUCGACUUUAUUCGAGAUUCGAGUUGUCCCACACUUUAUUCGAGAUUCGAGUUGUCCCACACCCCCUUCUCUGAGAGAGAGAGAGAGAGAGAGAGAGAGAGAGAGAGAGAGAGAACAGCGGCAUUUUUUUCUUCCAAGUUUUUAUUCUUUCUUUUCUUCUGGGCUUGCUGCUUAACAAAGUGGCCACAGUCUUAGUUGUCGAGUGUCUUUCUGAUUUCUCAGGGCUGGGUAAUGUGUCCCCCUGUCCUCCCCCCUCGUAGCAGUUCUAUAAAUGUUUCAAACCAUCUAUAUCCAGUGAAAACUCUCCAGACCUUUAGAGCUUCCACUGCUUAAAGUGCACUGUGGAGUAGGAGCCCCCUACACCCCCAUAAGCACCCCAGCUCGAUGUGGACCUUAUAGGAUUCAGGUUGGCUUGACGAUGGCAGCUCAGGUGGAGGAGGCUGGAGAAGGCUCAAGGGACUUCUGAGGAACCCUGUAACACAAAAGGUGAAGUGUGUUUAUCCCAACUUCAGCCUCAGAAUUCCCUCCAAGAGAGUCAGAGUUGGUGGUUGCCAAAGCUAGCCCCCUCACCCCCACCCCCAAGCUCGUUUGCUUGAAGGGUCCAGCUCAACCCAAGCCCAAAUUAGAAAGAUUUUUGACAGUAUUAAUCAGGGCACUGUGCGAAUUAUUAAAAAGAAACUGCAGUUUCCUCUUCCUUUUCCAAAACUUAUGAAAGAGAAGUGGAUGGGGGGCAAUCUUAUCUAAUUUGGGUGAUCAAGGCAGAGAGAAUAGAUACAUUAUAAAUUCACAGCGUAUGGCACAAAUGUUUCCCGCUUCCUGUGUCCUGCCUGGUAAAACAAAACAAAACAAAAUAAAGCAAAAGAUAGCUGGAAGCUUUGGGGUUCUUGUUUAAUUGGAGAAACUCUAUAAAAAAAAUCCAACAUUUAAAAAAUUAUGACCCCAAACAGGCAAGAUCUCGAACCCAUUUUGCCAGGUUCCCUCCACUACAUAAGAAAGCAGCGCUUCCUAACUUUGUUUUUUCAGCCCCCCUUUUAUGUCCUUUUCGGAACUAGCUCUUCUUUCUCUGUCAAAAUGUGUCUGAUUUUGGUAAAUAUUAAUUAUUCGUUCUCUCUGGAACCCUGUUACAGUCCCUAACCUCCUGGACCAGAGUAUAAACAGACCCCAUCUCCAGUGUCUAACAAAAGUCAGAGAAAGUUCAUUUGGUUAGAACUGGGUCUGAAGCAACACCCUGGGUCCCCAUUGGGUGCUGAAUCACAGCUGCAAAGAUGGAUAUUAAAAUUAAAUAGCCUCAAAACUAAGAACAUGGGGGGGCACUCCACAAGACAGAGGAUUUUUUUUUAAAACUAACAAUGAGGAUGUAAGAUGAAUGUAAUGAGAGAUUUUGCUUCUGUCCUGAUGAACCACUAGCAAUAAUUGAACCAUGAAGAGAAAACUCUGUUUCUCUCCUCUUGCUUUAUUUUCUUAGAAGUCUUUCAGAACUAAACAAAUGCAGGAAAGUUCUUCUCCAAAAGGCUGUCUGCUUACUACUGAUGGAGAGAGGGUUGUGAAAGGAUGUGGUUCUUUUCAUUUAAAGAAUAGCUUAUGAAACAAUUUUUUAAAACCUGUUUAAAAAAGUUCCUUCAUUAUUUUGAUUUUGAAAUGGUUGUGAGAGACAUUUUGUAAACGAAAUGACUUCCUUGGCAUGGUCUAUGGUAAUGUGUAUCCUUAAAUAUCUGAGAGUAUAAUAGGCACCAUUGGGGAAUAGGUGCCAGGUUGGGGAUUGUAUUCUCCGACCUUGUGUGUAUCUGGAAAAAGUAAAAAGCAAAACUUAAUAUUCAUGUCUGUGGUUUUUUCUCUCUCCUUCAAUUUGGAAUCUUGUUCCAAUUUAUACUCCAGAAUCUAACUCCAGUCUUUGAACUUUCAUUUCCUUAUCUGUGUCUAUGUACCACAUCCCCUCUGUUCUCCUGGAAAGGGCAAACUGUUGAAAGAAAGAGGCACACAUCUUGAAUUUCCCCCAGAUCCUUCUAGAAAGAAAAUGAACAGGGAGGGGAGGAUUUGAGGCAAAGGCAGUGGAUGCCUCUGAAAAACAGUUGUACUUAGAAGAAAGGUCACCUACCGACAGUCCAAGAAAGAAAUGUCAUGGUAAGUGAAAUUGCUCCGGUUUAGGUGGUCUUACUGUGGGAAGCAGAUGGGCAGGGGGAGUCUUUGGGAAUUGUAUGAUGGAGCAUGAAGCGAGAGCAAACUUGUAAGGAGCAAUCAAUUCGAAUGGGAUCCUAGGAUCCCUCCUCCAUUCCCAACUUUUGCAAACAUUUCAAGUAUCUUGCUGAAGUUCUGGAAGAUGGCCAGCAAGGAAAGACCAUUUGCUCUGGGAAUGCUGUAGGCUGUCUCACCUCCGUUGGUAUAACAGUUGGAGGGCAUUUGUUGUUUGCCGGUUUUUUUCCUUCCCUUCAGAGACUCGGAAUAACAAACUCAAGUGGUCGACCUCACCCUUGUCUUUCUUCCUUAGCAAACUUGACAACGUGGAAGAAACGUGACAUGUGGAUUAUUAAAGAGCAGCAGGCUGACUUUUAACCCUGGGUGCAUUGCUCAGACCCCAUUACCUGUGCAUUUAUACUGGGAGUGCGUUACAAGAAUUACAGGGUACUAAGCCACAAAGAGGCGAUGAGAAAGCAGAGGUAAGAGGUUGUAAAAAUAUCAGGGAAAGCAGGAUGUGUAUCUUACCAUUUUCAACCCUCAAAUGGAUGGAUAAUGCCUUUCAGAAAAUUAACUGCUCCUUUAAUACCGGGGUCAGUUUCUAAGUCCAAGGAGAAAGAGAUGAAUUUGAAAAAAGUGCACCAUCUUCACUCUGACUCUCCAUGUUUUCAGAGUUUCUUAGGGUUAAAAAAUCCUCUGUUUACUUAAACAAAUUCUUAGCUUCAGGAACAAAAGCCAUCUGCAAGGUUUUUCUUAAGGUCUUUUCUUUCAGAUACAAGUUCUACCUUCAUUCAGUUACAAGCACUUCUCAAACGGUGAGAAACUUUGUUGCUAUGGGUCAUGGUCCACAGAUGUUUCCUAAGUGAAAACUUUGUAAAAGUCAGAGAACUCAGAGAGUAUUUACUUUGCACUGCUAAUAAAAUGAUAAAACAAAACCAGUGGAAAUCAUUCAGGAAAAAGUGUGUGUGUGUGUGUGUGUGUGUGUGUGUGUGUGUGUGUGUGUGUGUUACACUAAUCAAGCCAUUAUUACCCUGUGGGUUUGUAUUUCUGGGCAGCUAUUGAUGGAAUAAAAUAGGGAAGGAUUCAUCAAAUAUCUAGGGUGUUCUUUCAAAAUUAACAAGAAAGGGGUGCACAGUAAGCUAAUAAUAAGAACUGCUAAUAAGAACUGUUACUGUUACUCUUUAGUCCUUUGGGUACCAAUUUGUAUAUCCUGUUGCCAAGGCAAAGGUAAUUAUUGAAUCUAUCCUAAAUCUGAGUGAUGGAGUAGUCAGAAAUGACUCCAUCUGACAGAAGAGCCAGGAGGCAACUGAUGGAUACUAUUGUCCAGAUGUGACCCUCCAUUAACACUACCUAUCAGCAUCUGGAUCCUGUCACUGGUCCCCAUCCCAGAGCCAAGAGGACUGCCUGGCAUAGUCCAAGCAUUUCCAAGGAUUUCUACGCUGCAUUCCACCCUUCACCAAAUGAAUAGGUGAGGAGACUUAACCUAAACCCUGUCCCCCUCUCCAUCUCCACCUGCCUUAUUGCCCCUCUCCAGACCCAUUGUUUGGCAGGUGCUGGCAAUUUACUCCUUAUCUUGCCUGUUUAUGACGGAUUUUUUAAAAUUAAUAACAAAGGGAGAAGUGGUAUUAAUAUUAAUUAACACCAUAAAAUGAAACAGUUUUGGGAUCUCACCCAGUGAAUCCUCACAGUCUCUAAUUGGAGCUUUGGAGAAAGGGGAGGAGGAGAGGGGAAAGGGAGGGGGAUGUGUGUGUGGGGGGGAGAUACAGAUGACCUACUGGGUGACAGGCACAGGUUGGAAGGGUGACAUUUUAUUGUAAGCCUCCCAAUGAAAGGAAGAAAAGGAAGGGACCAGUCAAUUUAAUGCAGGGACCAAGAGUGCAGGAGUGUUGCUAAGAGACAGAGAUGCUGGUAAAGUUCUAUCACAAGCCCUACUCUGACCUUAUGCAAAUAGAGGCGGCCAACUCUUUGUGGAACGGCUGAAAAUUCCACCCCCUGUGUCACCAAUACCUGGCAUCGAGCCUUUCAUUCAAAUGUUCUCUAAACACACACACACACACACACACACACACACACACACACAGAGGAUGUGACAAAGUGUGACACAUCUAGGGGUUUUAACGUACACACACAAACCUCACAAGAAUAUGGGGAAUAGUAAUAGUACUAAUAAUUUUUAAAUGGGAGGGGGCGGUCAAUGGCAGAUCUUCCUGAGGAAUUGUCACCCACCCUUACCUUCUGUCACCGGCAUCUUCCUUUAGCUGUAAAGCAAUCUGACGAGUCAGAAAUUGCCCUCUCCUUGCAGAAAUAGACGCCUAUUAAGAUACUGAGGUAGGUGCUCAGAUAUUGUCAUAGUUCACAGCCGGAGG
This 4905-nucleotide long non-coding RNA is filed under the name Rattus norvegicus (Norway rat). Its description in RNAcentral is "long non-coding RNA NONRATT031542". The record is from RNAcentral. Lineage: Eukaryota; Metazoa; Chordata; Mammalia; Rodentia; Muridae.